GGAUAUAUAGCUCAGUGGUAGAGUACAUGCUUAGCAUGCACGAGGUCCUGGGUUCAAUCCCCAGUACCUCCA
RNAcentral lists this transfer RNA (72 nucleotides) under Camelus bactrianus (Bactrian camel). It matches the Rfam family "tRNA". Rfam says of the family: Transfer RNA (tRNA) molecules are approximately 80 nucleotides in length. Their secondary structure includes four short double-helical elements and three loops (D, anti-codon, and T loops). Lineage: Eukaryota; Metazoa; Chordata; Mammalia; Artiodactyla; Camelidae. The record is from Rfam by way of RNAcentral. RNAcentral also lists the same sequence under 2 other names.